GAUGUGACAUCCCUCAUUACAGCCAUUCCACAUGAUGCCACUUGCUUCACUGUCAUUGAUUUAAGUAAUGCAUUUUUUUCUAUACCUAUUGAUCAAGAGACACAGCUACUUAUGGCUUUUACUUUUGAAGGCUGUCAGUAUACCUGGACACGUUUACCCCAAGGCUAUGUGGAUUCCCCAGCUGUUUAUUCGCUGGUACUCCAACAUACUCUAAAAACAUGGACCCCCGGUCAUGGUUCCGUCCUUUUGCAAUAUGUUGAUGAUUUGUUGUUAUGUAGCCCUAGCUAUGAGGCAAGCACUGUGGAUACUGUCAGUUUGCUCAGACACUUAGCAACUGUGGGUCACAAGGUUGCAAAACACAAAAUGCAAUUGUGUAAAUCAAAGGUUGAUUACUUAGGUUUUGUUCUGGCUUCAGGCACCAGACAAUUGAGUCCAAAACGUAUUGAGGUCAUUCAGAGGAUUCCUAAACCCACUACUCGGAAGGAGUUGCUCACCUUCCUCGGCAUGAUUAAUUACUGCCGCCAAUGGAUCCCUGAAUGCUCUCAUUAUGACUCAAUCCUAAGGGAGGCUGUACGUUCUGACAGCCCUGAAAAUGUCUGCUGGUCACCAGACAUGUUAGCUGCGUAUAUAGCCCUCAAAGUUGCUAUUGUGCAAGCCCCGGCUUUAGGACUACCUGUGUAUUGUAAACCAUUUCAUUUGUAUGCUCGGGACAACUGUAAAACCAUGGCCGCGGUCUGUGCACAAGAGCACGGAGGCGGUAUGCGUCCCAUAGCAUUCUUUUCCAAAAUAUUUCCAGCUACGGUACAGGGUAUGCCGGCGUGUCUCAGAGCAUUG
Non-coding RNA from Pelobates cultripes (western spadefoot toad), 834 nucleotides. The record is from the annotation of a GenBank genome assembly. NCBI's taxonomy places the organism in Eukaryota, Metazoa, Chordata, Amphibia, Anura, Pelobatidae.